AGCAGCCGCGGUAAUUCCAGCUCCAAUAGCGUAUAUUAAAGUUGCUGCAGUUAAAAAGCUCGUAGUUGAAUUUCGGGACUAUCAUGUCGGUCGUGCCUCGGUACGUACUGGCAUUGUUGGUUUCUACCUUCUGAAGAACCUCGAUGUCAUUAAUUUGGUGUCUUGGGGAAUCAGGACUGUUACUUUGAAAAAUUAGAGUGUUUAAAAGCAGGCUCGCGCUUGAAUACAUUAGCAUGGAAUAAUGAAAUAGGACGUUUGAUUCUAUUUUGUUGGUUUCUAGGAUCGACGUAAUGAUUAAUAGGGAUAGUUGGGGGCAUUAGUAUUCAAUUGUCAGAGGUGAAAAUUCUUGGAUUUAUUGAAGACUAACUACUGCGAAAAGCAUUUGCCAAGGAUGUUUUCAUUAAUCAAGAACGAAAGUUAGGGGAUCGAAGACGAUCAGAUACCGUCGUAGUCUUAACCAUAAACUAUGCCGACUAGGGAUCGGAUGAUGUUAAUUUUUAAUGUAC
Molecule: ribosomal RNA, 506 nt
Filed under: uncultured Glomus
Lineage: Eukaryota; Fungi; Glomeromycota; Glomeromycetes; Glomerales; Glomeraceae
Description: SSU rRNA
Rfam family: Eukaryotic small subunit ribosomal RNA
Source: RNAcentral